Molecule: ribosomal RNA, 307 nt
Filed under: Salmonella enterica
Lineage: Bacteria; Pseudomonadati; Pseudomonadota; Gammaproteobacteria; Enterobacterales; Enterobacteriaceae
Description: bacterial SSU rRNA
Rfam family: Bacterial small subunit ribosomal RNA
Source: RNAcentral
AAAUUGAAGAGUUUGAUCAUGGCUCAGAUUGAACGCUGGCGGCAGGCCUAACACAUGCAAGUCGAACGGUAGCACAGAGAGCUUGCUCUCGGGUGACGAGUGGCGGACGGGUGAGUAAUGUCUGGGAAACUGCCCGAUGGAGGGGGAUAACUACUGGAAACGGUAGCUAAUACCGCAUAACGUCGCAAGACCAAAGUGGGGGACCUUCGGGCCUCACACCAUCGGAUGUGCCCAGAUGGGAUUAGCUAGUAGGUGGGGUAACGGCUCACCUAGGCGACGAUCCCUAGCUGGUCUGAGAGGAUGACCA